Molecule: non-coding RNA, 588 nt
Organism: Paramuricea clavata
Lineage: Eukaryota; Metazoa; Cnidaria; Anthozoa; Malacalcyonacea; Plexauridae
Source: the annotation of a GenBank genome assembly
CCGGAAUUUUCAGUUUACUCCUCCCACAAUAUUUGGGAAAAAAGAUUAAUUAUAGCGACUGAAAUGUUUCAUGUUUGAUCAGUAAUACCCAUUCAAAUGAAUUGGCUUCCUAACCACUCGAGUGCUAAAGGUGAAAGCUCCUUAGGGGGACCAGGGGGUAUGCCCCCCCCCCCUCCCGGAAACGUUUGAAAAUUAGAACCCUAGAAAUGCCAUUUCCUGCGAUAUGGGCAUUGAAUUAUGAGCUUCAGUUUGACUUCAAAAAAGGAAAAAGCUUGGAAAUUGUGCCAUAUUUCUGAAUUUGAUUUUAUUGCACCCCCUUGCCCCCUGUUGACCAAGGCCAACAGAGGUGUACACCCCCCUAUAAAUCCACCUCUGGUAAUACCCCCACCCCAAUCUUGAUCCAUCUGUCACUGGGCCUGGGCCCCAUGCAUCAGACGUUGCUUAUUCGUCGUCCUUUUCAAGACCCCAGCACGUCCCUGAUAACAUUAAUGUGAAAAAAUAAGCUUAGCAUAGCCAUUAAUGUUUUCAAAAUGUACUUUGUCUUAGUAAAACCAUUCAAAUUAUUGAAAACCAUUGAUAUGAAAAUAA